UGGAGCAGAGAAGCGGUGGUCUACUGGUCUAUAUUGGCGGUCUGGAACUCAGAACAUGACCCUGGAGGCGGAACCACAGGAUCUCAUCUCCUUAUCGAGCGCCGGUCCCGGAGGAGAAGGGUGGGACCCAAGACGCCGACCCGGCCCGUCCAGAGCGGCCCACCAAUGAGGGCGGCGAGGAGAUCGAGUGUCUCUAUAAGUGAAGAACAUCAUCUGCUCGCUAAGUUUGCAGAACCUGACAGCAGGUCCGGGCCAGCGGGGAGCGCGCUUCUUUCAGUUUUUCUCAGGUUGCCAAGUCCACUCUCAACAUGUCCGACAACGAGGAAGUGUAAGAACACCUUCGGCCUCACCUUUACAUUUCACCUUUAGGCCCCCCCCCUUGACCAUGUUUUGUCUCCUUGUGUCCGCAGCGACCAC
This is a long non-coding RNA of Nerophis ophidion (straightnose pipefish), 417 nucleotides long. RefSeq lists it as uncharacterized. Lineage: Eukaryota; Metazoa; Chordata; Actinopteri; Syngnathiformes; Syngnathidae. The record is from RefSeq and is a predicted model, not a curated record. The transcript is spliced from 4 exons.